Physella acuta is the source of this 856-nucleotide long non-coding RNA. RefSeq lists it as uncharacterized. Lineage: Eukaryota; Metazoa; Mollusca; Gastropoda; Physidae. The record is from RefSeq and is a predicted model, not a curated record.
AUGUCAGCUAAGGCCCAUAAUUGUAAUUAUCCUACUGUUAGAUCUAUUAAUUAUUUAAUAAUUAGUAGGCCUAAUUAUAGGAAUUAGGUCUGAUACAUUAAGUCCUAUACAUUGGUCGUAGAGUAAUACUAUUGGGCUAGUAAUUAUAUACAAUAUCUAUACAAGCCUACUUAUCGUUAAUUUGGAAGUCUUUGCAUUGACCUUAGUUUUCAGAUGUAGCAGCCUAAUUUUUAUCAGAUUAUACCAUAAAAUCAAAAGUAGACUUGUAGAUCUUUUUAAAACAAGGCAUGAAAUAUUAAUUUAAAUAAUAUAAAUUAAACAAAUAGCCUAAAUAACAACUACACAAAGUUAAAGUCAUAAUAACUUUUUAUAAAGGUUCAUCCAAAAAAAAGGGAAGAUCUGAUUUUUACCAGUAAUAAGACUACAGCAUACUAAAUGACACAAGAUGUUCUUUCUCUAUUACCUCUUACAUUUGACAUAAAAGUAGGAAAAGGUUUAACAGUCUAUGCCUACAACAUAGAUCUCCAGGACUAAAAGUACACAAAAUGGCAAUCAGUAUAUCACAAGUGUAAUAACACAUGCAUCUAAUCUGCUUCAGUGGCGAGAACUGGGUGAAUCCUCUCAAACAUUAAUCAGGAACUAGGCAUACCUAAUGAGCGUCAAGCUGAUACAGUAGAUGUACAGAAAAGUUUAUACACAAGGAAGUGAAAAGUGAUGUAAAAGGCAACUAAUACUUCCAUCUACCAUAGUUAAACAAGAAUCUGCAAAUGGUGAUAAUUGCAAUAAUCUUGAUAUAUUAAUGUUUGGCUUUAUAAUUAUAUGCAAUUGUUUCAUAAAUAAAUUAUUUCUCAAAAUU